CUUGAGGAUGUUUAAUAAGUUUUCGAUAGGCCCUUGGCUUCCGGAAAUUAAAAGAUUCUUAGCACAGAAAGUGUGCAGUGUUACAUUAUGCAAAUCACUAGUGGUUUAAUUAUCAUCCUUGUCUCAGUACUACCGUCUGGAUUCACAAGUGGUCAUCUAAAACAUUGUAAACACAAAUGUGAGCAAAAUGCAACCAAUAUUAAUGUAUACUAAGGGAUACGUCCUCAUAACAGUAUGAAAUAAUUUACUAUAACUUUACUAAAACCAUAAAUAUUUAACCCCUUGUGGAAAACCAAAUAGAGCAAAUAGAAAAUGCAAAAUCAUAUAUUGUCGCUCACCCCACCUUGACUCAAAAACAAUAUAAAAUAUACAAACUGGUCUAAUUUGUCUAUACGCUAUACCCCACCUUGAGAGUAUAAAUUAAAACAAAAACAAACAAAGAAUAACCAUUAUCAUUCUAUUGUUCACCCAACCUUGACCCAAGGAAAUGUAAAUAUAUGCAAUUAUCUGUUUUCCCUAUAUUCCCUUUAGAGUGUGAAAUACAAUAAAAAGCAUAAGAAAACAACAAAAUCAAAGAAGAUGGAG
This is a non-coding RNA of Pelobates cultripes (western spadefoot toad), 585 nucleotides long. The record is from the annotation of a GenBank genome assembly. NCBI's taxonomy places the organism in Eukaryota, Metazoa, Chordata, Amphibia, Anura, Pelobatidae.